This 486-nucleotide ribosomal RNA is filed under the name uncultured bacterium. RNAcentral's name for it is "partial 16S ribosomal RNA". It matches the Rfam family "Bacterial small subunit ribosomal RNA", at positions 30 to 507 of the family's 1533-position model. The record is from RNAcentral.
AUUGAACGCUGGCGGCAUGCCUUACACAUGCAAGUCGAACGGCAGCACGGGUGCUUGCACCUGGUGGCGAGUGGCGAACGGGUGAGUAAUACAUCGGAACAUGUCCUGUAGUGGGGGAUAGCCCGGCGAAAGCCGGAUUAAUACCGCAUACGAUCUACGGAUGAAAGCGGGGGACCUUCGGGCCUCGCGCUAUAGGGUUGGCCGAUGGCUGAUUAGCUAGUUGGUGGGGUAAAGGCCUACCAAGGCGACGAUCAGUAGCUGGUCUGAGAGGACGACCAGCCACACUGGGACUGAGACACGGCCCAGACUCCUACGGGAGGCAGCAGUGGGGAAUUUUGGACAAUGGGCGAAAGCCUGAUCCAGCAAUGCCGCGUGUGUGAAGAAGGCCUUCGGGUUGUAAAGCACUUUUGUCCGGAAAGAAAUCCUUGGCCCUAAUACGGUCGGGGGGUGACGGUACCGGAAGAAUAAGCACCGGCUAACUACGUG